This 434-nucleotide ribosomal RNA is filed under the name uncultured bacterium. Its description in RNAcentral is "bacterial SSU rRNA". It matches the Rfam family "Bacterial small subunit ribosomal RNA", at positions 355 to 786 of the family's 1533-position model. The record is from RNAcentral.
UGAGGAAUAUUGGUCAAUGGGCGUAAGCCUGAACCAGCCAAGUCGCGUGAGGGAUGAAGGUUCUAUGGAUCGUAAACCUCUUUUAUAAGGGAAUAAAGUGCGGGACGUGUCCCGUUUUGUAUGUACCUUAUGAAUAAGGAUCGGCUAACUCCGUGCCAGCAGCCGCGGUAAUACGGAGGAUCCGAGCGUUAUCCGGAUUUAUUGGGUUUAAAGGGUGCGUAGGCGGCCUUUUAAGUCAGCGGUGAAAGUCUGUGGCUCAACCAUAGAAUUGCCGUUGAAACUGGGAGGCUUGAGUAUGUUUGAGGCAGGCGGAAUGCGUGGUGUAGCGGUGAAAUGCUUAGAUAUCACGCAGAACUCCGAUUGCGAAGGCAGCUUACUAAACCAUAACUGACACUGAAGCACGAAAGCGUGGGGAUCAAACAGGAUUAGAUACC